This 846-nucleotide ribosomal RNA is filed under the name uncultured bacterium. Its description in RNAcentral is "bacterial SSU rRNA". It matches the Rfam family "Bacterial small subunit ribosomal RNA", at positions 12 to 848 of the family's 1533-position model. The record is from RNAcentral.
UUUGAUCCUGGCUCAGGAUGAACGCUAGCUACAGGCUUAACACAUGCAAGUCGAGGGGAAACGAUAGAGAAAGCUUGCUUUUUCUAGGCGUCGACCGGCGCACGGGUGAGUAACGCGUAUCCAACCUGCCCAUCACUUGGGGAUAACCUUGCGAAAGUAAGACUAAUACCCAAUGAUAUCUCUAGAAGACAUCUGAAGGAGAUUAAAGAUUUGUCGGUGAUGGAUGGGGAUGCGUCUGAUUAGCUUGUUGGCGGGGUAACGGCCCACCAAGGCGACGAUCAGUAGGGGUUCUGAGAGGAAGGUCCCCCACAUUGGAACUGAGACACGGUCCAAACUCCUACGGGAGGCAGCAGUGAGGAAUAUUGGUCAAUGGGCGAGAGCCUGAACCAGCCAAGUAGCGUGCAGGAUGACGGCCCUAUGGGUUGUAAACUGCUUUUAUAAGGGAAUAAAGUGAGAGUCGUGACUCUUUUUGCAUGUACCUUAUGAAUAAGGACCGGCUAAUUCCGUGCCAGCAGCCGCGGUAAUACGGAAGGUCCGGGCGUUAUCCGGAUUUAUUGGGUUUAAAGGGAGCGUAGGCCGGAGAUUAAGCGUGUUGUGAAAUGUAGAUGCUCAACGUCUGCACUGCAGCGCGAACUGGUUUCCUUGAGUACGCACAAAGUGGGCGGAAUUCGUGGUGUAGCGGUGAAAUGCUUAGAUAUCACGAAGAACUCCGAUUGCGAAGGCAGCUCACUGGAGCGCAACUGACGCUGAAGCUCGAAAGUGCGGGUAUCGAACAGGAUUAGAUACCCUGGUAGUCCGCACGGUAAACGAUGGAUGCCCGCUGUUGGUCUGAAUAGGUCAGCGGCC